This 2037-nucleotide long non-coding RNA is filed under the name Equus caballus (horse). Its description in RNAcentral is "lncRNA (ENSECAG00000047710.1)". Lineage: Eukaryota; Metazoa; Chordata; Mammalia; Perissodactyla; Equidae. The record is from RNAcentral.
CAUCUCCCACUCUACAGGCCUCUCCCCCGCGCGCUGGGGCCUCCCGUUCCCGCGUGUGAGCGAACCUCUUAGGAGGUUUGCUUUCCUUCUGGGCGAGGCUGAGCGACGUUGCCAAGACCAACACGAACUUCUCUGGACAGCAGACCAGGGUGCGAACAGCAGCCCUGCCGCUUCCUAGCCUGUGACAUUCGCCAGAGUUCCGUAGUCCCUCAGCCUCAUCGCCCCAUCCAUAAAAUGGGAAAGCGAACCGUAAAAAGAAUGUGACCAAGCACGGGAAUCCUAUGGAGAAGGCGUGACUCUGAUGCUGUGUCACAGCUGAGGAAACAGGCUCAGAGGUCGGGAACAGCUGGACAGGGCGGAGGGGCCUCGCUCCUCGGACUCUGGUCCCCUGCUGCUGGCGGGAGCCCUCCCUGCAGCGCGCCUGUUGGAUGCCUCUGGGGAUGAGGAGCCUGCUACCUGUCCAGCCCGUCUGUUGCUAGGCAUCCUGAAUAGCUGAAAAGAGCAAAGCUGCCGUUUUUACAUUUGCUUCCUGAUCUUGGACUUGGACUCCAGGCAGACGUGAUUUGGGUAGAGCUUUGAGAGAAGAAAGACUAUAAAUUCCCCCAAAGGAAGGCUUCAGGAGCAGUCUACAACUGGGUGGUCAGGAGACAGAAGGCUUCGCUCUCACCUGUCAAGGCCUGGCCUAAGCCCCCACCCACAGAAUCCCCCCGGGGGAAAGAGCCGGGGCUGCGCGGGCAUUCCACCGCAGCCUUGUUUGGGAUUGGGCUGAACUCAGAGCACCAGGCAUUGUGUCUAUAAUCACCAGCUAAUUGGGGUAUGUUCCCUUGGGGGUGGUGUGUGAGGAGCACGGGCCAGGGAACACCUUGACAAACUAUUUGCAGGAAAUCUGGACUGCACACUGAAGGGAGAAAUGGGCCCCAGGAUGCCUGGCUUGGCUUGGCUUUGUUCGGUUUGCUCUCUUUCCAGAAAACAAGUAUCCUGCUUGAGUAGCUCCAGAGCCUCGUCCUUCCCAGGCUAAAGUACACACUCCUUACGGUGGCCUUCAAGGCCUUUCACAAUUGGGUCCCAACUCACCCUUUUGGCCUCUUUCCCCACCAUAUUCCUAACCCCAUUCCCUGACAGAGAAUUCCACACAGUCGCCUGCAUGCUCCAAGAUUGUUCCUGCCUCCGGGCCUUUGCGCAUGCUAUGCCCUCUGCCCUUUGGCAUGCUAACGGAUAUGACAUCUAGAUGACAACAGUCCUGUUUUAAAAUGUGUUGGACUUCCUCUUCGGCUCCCAAGACUUUUCCAAACAGUCCCUGCAAAGAGAGCAUCUUCGCUGCCCCUUUGGAACUGCAGCCAAGCACACAAUUAAACAAGUCAGGGAACGUCCAGUGGAGACACUGAGAGUUAGGGCAUUGAGUGGGUCCCCAAAGCAUUGUGGGAAAACCAGAACCUCCUAAGGCUGAAUAUCAAUGUGGUUUGGAAAAUCUUGCAUUACUACAAAACUAAUUUAAGGAUGACCCAAGAACGUGCUCCCGACUUUGAACCAUUUGUUUGCCGUGUUGAUCUUAUACUAGAUGCCAGGAACAGGACUGAAAGGCAUUGUUAGAGAGACCUCCGCAGCUUGUUCAGAAAGUCAGCGGGGUGGGGAGGCCUCACCUGGGGCAUUUGAACGGGCCGUUUCCAUCACAGGUUUCAAUGUGCAUGGAAUGAGAUUCAGAGCCCCAUUUUUCACAACGACAAAAUGUUAGCAUGAAGCAGGGUAACCACAUGAUCUUGUUUGCCCAGGAAGUUCUGGUUUCCACCCAAUGUCCUGACAUAUUUAUCAGUAGUUCCCCUUUCAUUAUCGAGUGCCCCAGUGUGGAAGAUAAAUUAUAUGUCACUCUAGCACCAGAUAACCAAACAAGAGCCUGUCUAGGGGGUUGUCUUUGUAAGAUGUUGCCACCUGUUGACACCAGUCCACUUUUCCAGAUCUAGCCUUUGUCCACUCCUCUGUGACAGAAUUAAUGUUUCGACCCAUGUGCUGCCACAGGUACUUAACCUUCAUUCACACUCC